Molecule: ribosomal RNA, 1648 nt
Filed under: Photobacterium aquimaris
Lineage: Bacteria; Pseudomonadati; Pseudomonadota; Gammaproteobacteria; Vibrionales; Vibrionaceae
Description: bacterial LSU rRNA
Rfam family: Bacterial large subunit ribosomal RNA
Source: RNAcentral
ACUUGUUCAUAUUGGGUAGGGGAGCGUUCUGUAAGCCGUUGAAGGUGCAUUGUAAAGUGUGCUGGAGGUAUCAGAAGUGCGAAUGCUGACAUGAGUAACGAUAAAGGGAGUGAAAAACUCCCUCGCCGGAAGAUCAAGGGUUCCUGUCCAACGUUAAUCGGGGCAGGGUAAGUCGACCCCUAAGGCGAGGCCGAAAGGCGUAGUCGAUGGGAAACGGGUUAAUAUUCCCGUACUUCUUAUAAUUGCGAUGGAGGGACGGAGAAGGCUAGGUGAGCCUGGCGACGGUUGUCCAGGUCCAAGUAUGUAGGCUGAUGAAUUAGGCAAAUCCGGUUCAUCUUAAGGCUGAGAUACGAUGUCGAGCUACUACGGUAGUGAAGUCAUUGAUGCCAUGCUUCCGGGAAAAGCUUCUAAGCUUCAGAUUAUAAGAAAUCGUACCCCAAACCGACACAGGUGAUCAGGUAGAGAAUACCAAGGCGCUUGAGAGAACUCGGGUGAAGGAACUAGGCAAAAUGGUACCGUAACUUCGGGAGAAGGUACGCUCCUAGCGGUGAUGAGACUUGCUCUCUAAGCUGCCGGGAGUCGCAGAUACCAGGUGGCUGCAACUGUUUAUUAAAAACACAGCACUGUGCAAAAUCGAAAGAUGACGUAUACGGUGUGACGCCUGCCCGGUGCCGGAAGGUUAAUUGAUGGGGUUAGACUUCGGUCGAAGCUCUUGAUCGAAGCCCCGGUAAACGGCGGCCGUAACUAUAACGGUCCUAAGGUAGCGAAAUUCCUUGUCGGGUAAGUUCCGACCUGCACGAAUGGCGUAAUGAUGGCCACGCUGUCUCCACCCGAGACUCAGUGAAAUUGAAAUCGCAGUGAAGAUGCUGUGUACCCGCGGCUAGACGGAAAGACCCCGUGAACCUUUACUAUAGCUUGGCACUGAACAUUGACCCUACAUGUGUAGGAUAGGUGGGAGACGUUGAAGCAACCGCGCCAGUGGUUGUGGAGUCAAUCUUGAAAUACCACCCUUGUAUGCUUGAUGUUCUAACGUCGACCCCUUAUCGGGGUUACGGACAGUGCCUGGUGGGUAGUUUGACUGGGGCGGUCUCCUCCCAAAGAGUAACGGAGGAGCACGAAGGUGGGCUAAUCACGGUCGGACAUCGUGAGGUUAGUGCAAUGGCAUAAGCCCGCUUGACUGCGAGAAUGACAAUUCGAGCAGGUGCGAAAGCAGGUCAUAGUGAUCCGGUGGUUCUGAAUGGAAGGGCCAUCGCUCAACGGAUAAAAGGUACUCCGGGGAUAACAGGCUGAUACCGCCCAAGAGUUCAUAUCGACGGCGGUGUUUGGCACCUCGAUGUCGGCUCAUCACAUCCUGGGGCUGAAGUCGGUCCCAAGGGUAUGGCUGUUCGCCAUUUAAAGUGGUACGCGAGCUGGGUUUAGAACGUCGUGAGACAGUUCGGUCCCUAUCUGCCGUGGGCGUUGGAUGAUUGAGAGGGGCUGCUCCUAGUACGAGAGGACCGGAGUGGACGAACCGCUGGUGUUCGGGUUGUAUCGCCAGAUGCAUUGCCCGGUAGCUAAGUUCGGAAUCGAUAACCGCUGAAAGCAUCUAAGCGGGAAGCGAGCCUCAAGAUGAGUCAUCCCUAGACCUUUAAGGUCUCUAAAGGGUUGU